Molecule: small RNA, 449 nt
Filed under: Arabidopsis thaliana (thale cress)
Lineage: Eukaryota; Viridiplantae; Streptophyta; Magnoliopsida; Brassicales; Brassicaceae
Description: ATSL163630
Source: RNAcentral
CAAUCCUAGUACUACUCUAGCCCAAGCACCCUUAACUGCGGAGUUCUAAUGGAAUCCAGUGCAUUAGUGCGGGUAUGAUCGCAUGUGUUACUACAUGCAAUGUAAUCGUAUCUAUUCUUUUUUAAAGACUUUAUGAUCCAUUUGCCGUGGGUCCCACCAGCUAUGUAGGAAUACACUAUCUUCUUUAUAAGAGCUUUGAUACAUGCAAAAUAUUGGAAAAAAACGUCCGAACAUAUAAUUUUCCCCACGUAAUAUAGCAAAGAUCACGAAAAUGCCCCAAAAAGUACAUUUAGUUCAAAAUUUGGAGUAGAAAAAAAAACAAUAGAAGAAUUACAUUUUCCUUCCUCACUCAUCGGAGAGCUCUCUUUGGGCUUUUCGAAAAGGUACCACAUGCCAAGUUUGGCCUCACGGUCUAAAAGUUAUAGAGUCAUACAUUUUUAACAAAAUAA